This 1405-nucleotide ribosomal RNA is filed under the name Chryseobacterium sp. A27.4. Its description in RNAcentral is "bacterial SSU rRNA". It matches the Rfam family "Bacterial small subunit ribosomal RNA". The record is from RNAcentral. Lineage: Bacteria; Pseudomonadati; Bacteroidota; Flavobacteriia; Flavobacteriales; Weeksellaceae.
AGCCGAGCGGUAGAAGAUCUUCGGAUCUUUGAGAGCGGCGUACGGGUGCGGAACACGUGUGCAACCUGCCUUUAUCAGGGGGAUAGCCUUUCGAAAGGAAGAUUAAUACCCCAUAAUAUAAUGAGUGGCAUCACUUAUUAUUGAAAACUCCGGUGGAUAGAGAUGGGCACGCGCAAGAUUAGAUAGUUGGUGAGGUAACGGCUCACCAAGUCCAUGAUCUUUAGGGGGCCUGAGAGGGUGAUCCCCCACACUGGUACUGAGACACGGACCAGACUCCUACGGGAGGCAGCAGUGAGGAAUAUUGGACAAUGGGUGAGAGCCUGAUCCAGCCAUCCCGCGUGAAGGACGACGGCCCUAUGGGUUGUAAACUUCUUUUGUAUAGGGAUAAACCUUUCCACGUGUGGAAAGCUGAAGGUACUAUACGAAUAAGCACCGGCUAACUCCGUGCCAGCAGCCGCGGUAAUACGGAGGGUGCAAGCGUUAUCCGGAUUUAUUGGGUUUAAAGGGUCCGUAGGCGGAUCUGUAAGUCAGUGGUGAAAUCUCAUAGCUUAACUAUGAAACUGCCAUUGAUACUGCAGGUCUUGAGUAAGGUAGAGGUAGCUGGAAUAAGUAGUGUAGCGGUGAAAUGCAUAGAUAUUACUUAGAACACCAAUUGCGAAGGCAGGUUACCAUGUCUUAACUGACGCUGAUGGACGAAAGCGUGGGGAGCGAACAGGAUUAGAUACCCUGGUAGUCCACGCCGUAAACGAUGCUAACUCGUUUUUGGGGCUUUAAGCUUCAGAGACUAAGCGAAAGUGAUAAGUUAGCCACCUGGGGAGUACGUUCGCAAGAAUGAAACUCAAAKGAAUUGACGGGGGCCCGCACAAGCGGUGGAUUAUGUGGUUUAAUUCGAUGAUACGCGAGGAACCUUACCAAGGCUUAAAUGGGAAUUGACAGGUUUAGAAAUAGACUUUUCUUCGGACAAUUUUCAAGGUGCUGCAUGGUUGUCGUCAGCUCGUGCCGUGAGGUGUUAGGUUAAGUCCUGCAACGAGCGCAACCCCUGUCACUAGUUGCCAUCAUUCAGUUGGGGACUCUAGUGAGACUGCCUACGCAAGUAGAGAGGAAGGUGGGGAUGACGUCAAAUCAUCACGGCCCUUACGCCUUGGGCCACACACGUAAUACAAUGGCCGGUACAGAGGGCAGCUACACAGCGAUGUGAUGCAAAUCUCGAAAGCCGGUCUCAGUUCGGAUUGGAGUCUGCAACUCGACUCUAUGAAGCUGGAAUCGCUAGUAAUCGCGCAUCAGCCAUGGCGCGGUGAAUACGUUCCCGGGCCUUGUACACACCGCCCGUCAAGCCAUGGAAGUCUGGGGUACCUGAAGUCGGUGACCGUAACAGGAGCUGCCUAGGGUAAAACAGUACUAGGCU